GUUGCUCUUACGGUAAGCAACCCUCACUUCCAACCGAGAGGUUGUGAGUUCGAGUCUCCCCAAGAGUAAGGUGGGAAGUUCUUGAAGGGAAGGAUGCCGGGGGUCUUGGAAACAGCCUCUCUACUCAAGGGUAGGUAUAAGGUCUGCGUACACACUACCCUCCCCAGACCCCACUAAGUCGGAUUAUACCGGGUUGUUGUUGCUGUUAUAUAUUCGAAAAAAGUUUUAGAUUAAUAAGAAAUUUCAUAUGUGUAUAUGUUAUGGGCUGGUGUUGAACUAAAACACAGGUUUACUGCAUAAAGUGUUUGCCAGUAUAAGCCGAAAGUUGCUUCUCAACUAUAAUGGCCUUCACAUUAUGACAUUCUGGAAUUGUAGUACAUUAAAGACACCAAUUAAGGUGUAAAUCUGGUGUUAUCUGGAGAAAGAUUUUCAGCAUGUUAGACAUUUAUGGAGUCAGCAUUAUACAAGGUAUAGUGAGGUAAGUUGUGAAUUGUGAUUGCCAUUAGGAAAUUGAAGAGGUAAACAUAUACAAAUAACCAUUUUCAAUUCACAACACUUUGGUUCAUGUCAAUACAACAUUUGAAAGCUACAGUGUCUGUAAUGUGAAGUUCUUUUUUCCGUGCAAGCAUGGAUUUGGGAACAUGUGUCUGGCCGUAAGAACCAGCCGUUGCUAAUUGUAAUUAGCAUGAUGAAUCUUGACCAAGAAUGCUUUUGCUGUAAAAUUUUGAAUAAGAUUUUCUAUUUCUUUUUUCUUUUUUCUUCCCCAUUUUUUUCCUUGGAUAGAUGUUCAGCAGCUCUCUGUUCUUUUAUAUGUCUUUUUUGUUAUCAAUUCCGUUAUAUGAUAUUUUUGUUAUUUUUACCCUAAUGUGCAACAAAAAACACUGCUGCAUGAGUUUUCAUCUAACGGCCUUAGUAGACCCUUCUGAAUUGAAACAUUACUAUAUUUGCUCGAAAAUACUAUUUUUUUACCCUUGACUGCAUAAAAUAUGUUGUAUAUUAUGUAUUGUGUGUCCUAUCUGUCUCAAGUUGCAGCUAUAAAUGCAUCCUUAUAAUAUUUGUGUCUUACUUAAAUCAACCUAUUUAAUUGCCAUUAUUAUUCUAUACUUUAAAAGCAAAAGCUACCAAGAACGUAGAGGAGAUUGGAUUCAUAGGUUGUCAACUUCACAGAUAAUAUUUAGCAAGUAUUAAGUUUUAGGAUCGCGCUUUGCCCGGGCAAAGUUAGUAGUUCAUUAUAAGGUAGAAAAUUACAUCUGUUUCUGAUGAUUCAGAACUCCCAAUCGAGAGGAGAACUUUCUCUAGCCAAUUUUAAGUUUAUCUAUAAAAGGAAUAGUGCAAUAAAUAAAGAAAGAAAGAAAAAGGUUUGAAAGGAAAAGAAGUUUGAUACAAUUAUUUCUUGAUUAUUAUAUACCAAAGGCAUUAACAUAAUGGACUUCCAACAACCCUCUUUUUCCAAAGACGCUCCAAUUGAUCAAAGGAAUUAAUAGGACCACUUGUUAUCUUUAAACCAUGAGGAAAAAAAAGGCAAGAAAUCCAAAGGAAAUGCAGGAAAUGAUUAUGAGUUUAGCACUAAAUUUUGCUUUGGAUUCAGGGAAUCUUGGACGUCAUUAAUGCACCAGGAGAAGGGCCUAGUACUUAGGCAUAACUUCAGGGAAUGAAACAAGGUGGCACACGUAUUAACAAAAGAGGCAAAGAAUCAGGAUAUCAACCAGUCUAUGCAUAAAAAAGCAAGAAUAUUAGUAUGGGUGCUUAUUUUUGUGGAAAAACUACUUAGCCAUAACAUGAACGGAGAACAUAUUUUGUCAAAAAAACUAUCGAAGACAGUUUGUAAUAUGUUAUUUUGCCUAGGGAACCAAAAUAUUAAAAUGGAAGGGAUGUCACCAUCCUCACCAAAUUAUCACUUCACCAUAGAUGAAGCAAGCUGUAAUAUGCAUGACAAUGCUUA
RNAcentral lists this long non-coding RNA (1942 nucleotides) under Nicotiana benthamiana. Its description in RNAcentral is "long non-coding RNA (NBEN_LNC030292)". The record is from RNAcentral. Lineage: Eukaryota; Viridiplantae; Streptophyta; Magnoliopsida; Solanales; Solanaceae.